AGUUCGUUGUGAGCUGAGUAUGAGAUGAGUAUGAGACAAAGCAUCCAACGAUGCUCAGAUAUCUUCAAAAGAUAAAGGAUCACUCAAUGAGUUUCAAAAAACUAGAUAUCCAAAGGAUUCCUAGAUCAGAGAAUGUCUGAGCUGAUGCACUACCCCAUCUAGCUACCCCCAAUUCUGUCGAUCUGGGAUGGAGGAUCUACAUCGAAUAUUUGGAUGUCCCAAACAUCAAAGGGACUUCGAGCAUCAACCAGAUUGACGAGGAGCCAAGCUAGAGAGAUCUACUAAUCAACUACUUAAGCAAUGGCACC
Molecule: long non-coding RNA, 308 nt
Filed under: Elaeis guineensis (African oil palm)
Lineage: Eukaryota; Viridiplantae; Streptophyta; Magnoliopsida; Arecales; Arecaceae
Description: long non-coding RNA (EGUI_LNC024820)
Source: RNAcentral